UUACUGGGCUUAAAGAGUUCGUAGGUGGUUGAAAAAGUUGGUGGUGAAAUCCCAGAGCUUAACUCUGGAACUGCCAUCAAAACUUUUCAGCUAGAGUAUGAUAGAGGAAAGCAGAAUUUCUAGUGUAGAGGUGAAAUUCGUAGAUAUUAGAAAGAAUACCAAUUGCGAAGGCAGCUUUCUGGAUCAUUACUGACACUGAGGAACGAAAGCAUGGGUAGCGAAGAGGAUUAGAUACCCUCGUAGUCCAUGCCGUAAACGAUGUGUGUUAGACGUUGGAAAUUUAUUUUCAGUGUCGCAGCGAAAGCGAUAAACACACCGCCUGGGGAGUACGACCGCAAGGUUAAAACUCAAAUGAAUUGACGGGGACCCGCACAAGUAGUGGAGCAUGUGGUUUAAUUCGAAGAUACGCGCAGAACCUUACCAACACUUGACAUGUUCGUCGCGACUUUAAGAGAUUAAAGUUUUCGGUUCGGCCGGACGAAACACAGGUGCUGCAUGGCUGUCGUCAGCUCGUGUCGUGAGAUGUUGGGUUAAGUCCCGCAACGAGCGCAACCCUCACUUUUAGUUGCCAUCAUUAGGUUGGGCACUCUGAAAGAACUGCCAGUGAUAAGCUGGAGGAAGGUGGGGAUGACGUCAAGUCCUCAUGGCCCUUACGUGUUGGGCUACACACGUGCUACAAUGGUAUCUACAACAGGAAGCAAGACGGUGACGUUAAGCAAAUCCUUAAAAGAUACCUCAGUUCGGAUUGCACUCUGCAACUCGAGUGCAUGAAGCUGGAAUUACUAGUAAUCGUGGAUCAGCGUGCCACGGUGAAUGCGUUCCCGGGUCUUGUACACACCGCCCGUCACACCAUGGGAGUUGGUUCUACCUUAAGGCAAGGUUUAAAACCCUUGACCACGGUAUAGUCAGCGACUGGGGUGAAGUCGUA
This 928-nucleotide ribosomal RNA is filed under the name uncultured bacterium. RNAcentral's name for it is "bacterial SSU rRNA". It matches the Rfam family "Bacterial small subunit ribosomal RNA", at positions 551 to 1490 of the family's 1533-position model. The record is from RNAcentral.